Long non-coding RNA from Glycine soja, 220 nucleotides. RefSeq lists it as uncharacterized. The transcript is spliced from 3 exons. Lineage: Eukaryota; Viridiplantae; Streptophyta; Magnoliopsida; Fabales; Fabaceae. The record is from RefSeq and is a predicted model, not a curated record.
UUGGUUUUGUUCUUUGAGGAAGAAGCCUGAUAUUAACAUCAAAGGCGCAAUUAACAGUGCAAUGAAGACAAUAACCAGUUCUUUUGAAGGCAUGUCUAAUCAAGGUGCACCUCGGUGGGUUGAACCCAAGAGUAAUGUGCAAAGUGGAGGGUUUGAGUGCGGAUAUUAUGUCAUGCACUGGAUGUGGUGCAUCGUGACUGCCGGUUUGAAGGAUGAUUGG